AUACGUAGGGGGCGAGCGUUGUCCGGAAUGAUUGGGCGUAAAGGGCGCGUAGGCGGCCCGGUAAGUCUGGAGUGAAAGUCCUGUUUUUAAGAUGGGAAUUGCUUUGGAUACUGUCGGGCUUGAGUGCAGGAGAGGUAAGUGGAAUUCCCAGUGUAGCGGUGAAAUGCGUAGAGAGUGGGAGGAACACCAGUGGCGAAGGCGACUAAAUGGACUGUAACUGACGCUGAGGCGCGAAAGUGUGGGGAGCAAACAGGAUGAGAUACCCUGGUAGUCCACACUGUAAACGAUGAAUGCUAGGUGUAGGGGUUAUCGACCCCUUCUGUGCCGCAGUCAACACAAUAAGCAUUCCGCCUGGGGAGUACGGCCGCAAGGUUGAAACUCAAAUGAAUUGACGGGG
RNAcentral lists this ribosomal RNA (397 nucleotides) under uncultured bacterium. RNAcentral's name for it is "partial 16S ribosomal RNA". It matches the Rfam family "Bacterial small subunit ribosomal RNA", at positions 523 to 918 of the family's 1533-position model. The record is from RNAcentral.